GUAGGUGGCAAGCGUUGUCCGGAAUUAUUGGGCGUAAAGCGCGCGCAGGCGGUUCUUUAAGUCUGAUGUGAAAGCCCACGGCUCAACCGUGGAGGGUCAUUGGAAACUGGAGAACUUGAGUACAGAAGAGGAAAGCGGAAUUCCACGUGUAGCGGUGAAAUGCGUAGAGAUGUGGAGGAACACCAGUGGCGAAGGCGGCUUUUCUGGUCUGUAACUGACGCUGAGGCGCGAAAGCGUGGGGAGCAAACAGGGAUUAGAUACCCUGGUAGUCCACGCCGUAAACGAUGAGUGCUAAGUGUUAGGGGGGUUUCCGCCCCCUUAGUGCUGCAGCUAACGCAUUAAGCACUCCGCCCCGGGGGAUACGGCCGCAAGGCUG
RNAcentral lists this ribosomal RNA (376 nucleotides) under uncultured organism. RNAcentral describes it as "partial 16S ribosomal RNA". It matches the Rfam family "Bacterial small subunit ribosomal RNA", at positions 527 to 896 of the family's 1533-position model. The record is from RNAcentral.